UGGGGAAUAUUGCGCAAUGGGGGCAACCCUGACGCAGCAACGCCGCGUGCGGGACGAAGGCCUUCGGGUCGUAAACCGCUUUCACCGGGGAAGACCAAGCGACUGUACCCGGGGAAGAAGCCCCGGCUAAAUACGUGCCAGCAGCCGCGGUAAUACGUAUGGGGCGAGCGUUAUCCGGAAUCAUUGGGCGUAAAGCGCGCGUAGGCGGCCGGGCAAGCGGGGCGUCAAAUCCCGGGGCUCAACCCCGGGCCGCGCCCCGAACUGCCCGGAUCGAGUUGGGUAGGGGAAGGCGGAAUUCCCGGUGUAGCGGUGAAAUGCGCAGAUAUCGGGAAGAACACCGGUGGCGAAGGCGGCCUUCUGGGCCCUAACUGACGCUGAGGCGCGAAAGCCGGGGGAGCGAACAGG
Molecule: ribosomal RNA, 405 nt
Filed under: uncultured prokaryote
Also listed under: 1 other name
Description: bacterial SSU rRNA
Rfam family: Bacterial small subunit ribosomal RNA
Source: RNAcentral